Long non-coding RNA from Rattus norvegicus (Norway rat), 1707 nucleotides. The record is from Ensembl. Lineage: Eukaryota; Metazoa; Chordata; Mammalia; Rodentia; Muridae.
AGAGAGACAGGAGAGGGAGGGAGAAGAACCAAGAUGGUGGACGAGAAGGACGACCCAGAUCUGUGUGGCUUUAAAUAGCCACAGGAAGAAGAGCUGGAAAGGUGGCUCAGUGGGAUUCUUGCCACCAUGAAGCACGAGGACCUGAGUUUGAUCCCUGAAACCACAAGGUAGAAGAGAGUCAACACUUAAAAUUUGUCCUCUGACCACCACAAGCAUGUGUCGGCACACACAUUUAAUCCCUGCACUCGAGAGGCAGAGGCAGGUAGAUUCCUGUGAGUUUGAGGUCAUCUGGUCUACAUAGAAAGUCCCAGGUCAUCCAGGACUACAUAGUGAGACUUCGUGAAAACAAACAAGCAAAAAACUUAACAGUUGAUCAUAGUAAAAUUAAAUGACACCUACACGGGGACUCGUUAUAUUGCUUUCAACAGUGUCUACCCGACACUAACUGCCUAGCGUUGGGCCAGAUUUCACAGGCUCAAGGUACAGCCUCCACACAAGACCCUCCCGAUGCUUUUUCCCAGCUGUAAGCUCCAGGGUUUCUUGAUCCUUCAUGACUCUGACCAACUGACUGCAGAUUCGUAGGUUCUCACUGUGUCCUCCGACUUGGUGAUGCCCGGAGUGACUCGCAUAACACGGAAAAAUGUCAUACAUACGAGAACCGUUUUACUACAAAAGAUGUGAGAGAGACGACAUGUAGAUACUUUGAGCACAGUUUCAGAGGCGUGUAUAGUCCGAGCUUCCAAGCGUUAAGGAGCUAUCGCCCACUGCUACACUGACAUGCCAUGAUCGGGCCAAGGACUUUGUUCUUGAGCCCAUGUUCAGGGGACACUGGCAUUUCAUUAUGUAGCUUGACUGGUGUAAACAUUGGGACACAUGAGAUUGGACUCAAUCUUCUCCCUGGAAGUCAGAGAUCAGCUCCCAACACAAGACUGAAAGAUGUAACCCUCUAAUCCUGUGGCUGAAAUCCUGAAUUCUCUGGUCUGGCUGGCCAGAUCCAGAGCUAGUACCUGUAGGAUGAUGUCAUUAUGCAUCGAGGUGAGUCCAGGAUAAGGUGAAGCCUCUCAUUGGAUGAGAAGGAAGGGUAGGCAGGGAAAAGUCUAGGAAGGAGAGAGGAAGAAGUGGAGGAAGAGGAGGAGGAGGAGGAGGGGAGGAGGAGCGUGGAUCAAGACAGCGUCUAUGGAGGAGGAGGAUGGUUCAGAUUUAGGUGAGCUAGAUCGAUUUUAUCUUGUCUAGGUGGUUUAUAUCUUUAUGAAUCGGCAGUGAAUUUAUUGUGUGGAUGAAUUGUGAAUUGAGAUUUUUUUUCUUUGUGGAUUGAGAAUUUAACAUGUAAUUUUUUUUAAAGAUUUAUUUUAUUUAUUUCAUGUAUACGAGUACACUGUCACUGUCCUCAGACACACCAGAAAAGGGCAUCAGGCCUCAUUACAGAUGGUUGUGAGCCACCAUGUGGUUGCUGGGAAUUGAACUCAGGACCUCUGGAAGAGCAGUCAGUGCUCUUAACCAUUGAGCCAUCUCUUCAGCCCUAACAUGUAAAUCUAAUUGCUAAAUUACAAGUUUCUGGAACUUUAAUUUUACUGGGCUAAAGAGGAUAGCACAUGGAAGAAACGGUUGAGAGGCAGUUGGAGCAUGUGGAUCUGGUUCUGUUGCCGGCUUGGAGAACGCACAGGGCCUUCAGAAUGAGAGGUGUGUGUGUGUGUGUGUUUGUGUGUG